UCUCACUCUAGGCGAGACUGCCGUUGACAAAACGGAGGAAGGUGGGGACGACGUCAAAUCAUCAUGCCCCUUAUGUCCUGGGCUACACACGUAAUACAAUGGCGGUCAACAGAGGGAUGCAAAGCCGCGAGGCAGAGCGAACCCCUAAAAGCCGUCCCAGUUCGGAUCGCAGGCUGCAACCCGCCUGCGUGAAGUCGGAAUCGCUAGUAAUCGUGGAUCAGCAUGCCGCGGUGAAUACGUUCCCGGGCCUUGUACACACCGCCCGUCACACCAUGAGAGUCGGGAACACCCGAAGUCCGUAGCCUAACCGCAAGGAGGGCGCGGCCGAAGGUGGGUUCGAUAAUUGGGGUGAAGUCGUAACAAGGGUAACCGUAAA
RNAcentral lists this ribosomal RNA (376 nucleotides) under uncultured bacterium. RNAcentral's name for it is "bacterial SSU rRNA". It matches the Rfam family "Bacterial small subunit ribosomal RNA", at positions 1133 to 1506 of the family's 1533-position model. The record is from RNAcentral.